AAAAUUCGGUGACAACUUUGCCGAUGAGAAUUUUGAACUGAAGCACACCGGCCCUGGAGUAAUAUCCAUGGCAAAUGGAGGAGCAGACACCAACGGAUCACAAUUCUUCAUUACUACUGUGACAACUAGCUGAUUGCAAUCUCCAGCUCCCAAACAUGGCAGAAGAUGAUUUCUCUGUGAUGAAGAACUGGGUUUCAAGGAAUUAUUACCCUGCAAGUCAUGCAUUGGACAAUGGGGUUGAAUCUGGGUCUGUGAGUGCAUUGGGGUAUAGGGAUUUGCAGUCACUGAGCUUGCCCUGGCUCCCAAUCAAGCUGUGUUACUGGUUCACAGCAGAUCUCACCCACUGUUACUGAGUGUGUAGCCAUGGAGGGAAAGAAAAGAGGGUCUGAGAAGCUUGAUCAGAAGCAGGUUGUCCAUAGGAAGUCCAUUGAUACAUUUGGACAGAGGACUUCACAGUAUAGAGGUGUCACAAGGUUAGUUCUUUAAUCUCCUUCCAUCUCUUUUCUGUAAUAUGCUAGAUGUUCUUUGUUAUUGCAUCUGUCUAUCUUUUUAUUUUAUUAUACAAAAUGCAUACCUUUCUUCCUACAUCACUCAUUAUCCUGUUAGGAAUUAGUCACACCUAACCAGGAUUGGCUCACAGAAAAACAGAAAAGAAUAAAUGCAUAAGAAUUAUAAAUCACAUGCAUAUACA
Molecule: non-coding RNA, 691 nt
Organism: Camellia sinensis
Lineage: Eukaryota; Viridiplantae; Streptophyta; Magnoliopsida; Ericales; Theaceae
Source: RefSeq, a predicted model, not a curated record